Molecule: ribosomal RNA, 442 nt
Filed under: uncultured bacterium
Lineage: Bacteria
Description: partial 16S ribosomal RNA
Rfam family: Bacterial small subunit ribosomal RNA
Source: RNAcentral
CCUACGGGUGGCAGCAGUGGGGAAUAUUGGGCAAUGGGCGCAAGCCUGACCCAGCAACGCCGCGUGAAGGAAGAAGGCUUUCGGGUUGUAAACUUCUUUUGACAGGGAAGAGCAGAAGACGGUACCUGUCGAAUAAGCCACGGCUAACUACGUGCCAGCAGCCGCGGUAAUACGUAGGUGGCAAGCGUUGUCCGGAUUUACUGGGUGUAAAGGGCGUGUAGCCGGGCUGACAAGUCAGAUGUGAAAUCCGGGGGCUCAACCCCCGAACUGCAUUUGAAACUGUUGGUCUUGAGGAUCGGAGAGGCAGGCGGAAUUCCUGGUGUAGCGGGGAAAUGCGUAGAUAGUAGGAGGAACCCCGGUGGCGAAGGCGGGCCGCUGGGCUUUUACUGACGCUGAGGCUCGAAAGUGUGGGGAGCAAACAGGAUUAGAUACCCUAGUAGUC